AUGAAAACGCUCCAUCAUCGGCCAGAGCCAUUAACCUGUCGCGCUCGGCUUAACCAGCCUGCAGAGAGCACCAAGGCUGCUUCCCAGAGCCAAGCGCUGCCUGGGCUCCAGUUACCAGAGCCACCACUCAAACUGGGUGACCAGUUGAUGGUCCCAGCCAGGAGCACGGUGCCACCGGUGCUUGGGGGACCCCGUCCUGCCCCUACAAUUAGGGACAAACCGUGGCCGUGUCCCCGUGCCGCAGGCAGGGGGUUGCCGUCCCAGUUUGCGCGAGUUUUGGAGAUGCCGGAGCCAGUCCUUGGGCUCGCUCCAGCUCCUCCCGCAGCAGGAGUUAUUUUUACCCUCUUUCAGGUAAAGCUUUUGCGGGGGAGAGGGACGGGGGAUGCUAUAAUUAGCUGUGACAUCAGCCCCCGUGGCGGCGCGUGCUGGGACGAUGCCGCCGUGCCCCGACCUGCGGCUGGGGACCGGGGAUGCUCCGUGCCCUUGUCCCCUGCUGCAGUGGGGGCAGCGGGAUGGUGGCAGGAGCUGGGUUGUUCCUGGCUCCAGCUCGGUCUUUGGCCGCUUUUUGGGGUGGUUUGGCCCCGCUCUGUGCCUUGCAGCUCAUCACGGGCUGGGGAAAGGAGGUUCCCCGGAGCGGGGGAGCACGGAGGCGGUGUGGGGCGGGGGGGGGGGAAGGCAGGAGGGGGAUUUGACGGCAGCAACAGCACAUUUCACAGCCUGUCACGCUUUAAUGGCAGAGGAGAUCAAAGCCGGGAUGGAGUUAUUCAUAGAGAUAAACCAAUCCCCGAGGAGGCGAGGAGAAAACAACAUUGCAAGCUCUGUUAUCCCAGGCCUGCAAGCAGCAGCCCGGCCCUGGGGAGGCUGUUGCAGGAGGUGCCCUGGGAGCCAGAUCCGCUCGGCUCCGUCCCUGGCAAGGCCUGGCCAAGCUGGGGCUGGGCUGCCUGCACCUUCCCUGGGGGGGUCAAUGAGGUUGGAUGCAAUCCUACAGCACCCAGGAGCAGGAUUUGGGGGCGGAUGUUUGGUGGGGCGAGCGGGCUGCCAUGCGCCUGCGAUGCACCAGAGAGGGGGGGAAAAAUUCAGGCUUGCAACAUUUGGGGCAGCUGCAGCUCCCGAAUAAGAGGCAGAGUCGGGGCAGCCUUCACGCUGCUCCUGGGCAGAGGAGGCGGGUGA
Molecule: long non-coding RNA, 1170 nt
Filed under: Anas platyrhynchos platyrhynchos (common mallard)
Lineage: Eukaryota; Metazoa; Chordata; Aves; Anseriformes; Anatidae
Description: lncRNA (ENSAPLG00000028562.1)
Source: RNAcentral